RNAcentral lists this ribosomal RNA (497 nucleotides) under uncultured bacterium. RNAcentral describes it as "partial 16S ribosomal RNA". It matches the Rfam family "Bacterial small subunit ribosomal RNA", at positions 28 to 507 of the family's 1533-position model. The record is from RNAcentral.
GAUGAACGCUGGCGGCGUGCCUAAUACAUGCAAGUCGAGCGAACGGACGAGAAGCUUGCUUCUCUGAUGUUAGCGGCGGACGGGUGAGUAACACGUGGAUAACCUACCUAUAAGACUGGGAUAACUUCGGGAAACCGGAGCUAAUACCGGAUAAUAUUUUGAACCGCAUGGUUCAAAAGUGAAAGGCGGUCUUGCUGUCACUUAUAGAUGGAUCCGCGCUGCAUUAGCUAGUUGGUAAGGUAACGGCUUACCAAGGCAACGAUGCAUAGCCGACCUGAGAGGGUGAUCGGCCACACUGGAACUGAGACACGGUCCAGACUCCUACGGCAGGCAGCAGUAGGGAAUCUUCCGCAAUGGGCGAAAGCCUGACGGAGCAACGCCGCGUGAGUGAUGAAGGUCUUCGGAUCGUAAAACUCUGUUAUUAGGGAAGAACAUAUGUGUAAGUAACUGUGCACAUCUUGACGGUACCUAAUCAGAAAGCCACGGCUAACUACGUG